UGUUAAAAAGAUCAUCUAUUUGUAUUGUUAAAAAUCGGUGUUUAUACCAUGUGUACAUCAUGUUGACUUACAUGGAUCAAAUUUUAACUGUAGAAAUGGAUGGAAUUUUUAACG
Gossypium raimondii (Peruvian cotton) is the source of this 114-nucleotide non-coding RNA. The record is from Rfam. Lineage: Eukaryota; Viridiplantae; Streptophyta; Magnoliopsida; Malvales; Malvaceae.